Molecule: ribosomal RNA, 839 nt
Filed under: Trichoderma harzianum
Lineage: Eukaryota; Fungi; Ascomycota; Sordariomycetes; Hypocreales; Hypocreaceae
Description: eukaryotic LSU rRNA
Rfam family: Eukaryotic large subunit ribosomal RNA
Source: RNAcentral
CAGGGAUUGCCCCAGUAACGGCGAGUGAAGCGGCAACAGCUCAAAUUUGAAAUCUGGUCCCUAGGGCCCGAGUUGUAAUUUGUAGAGGAUGCUUUUGGUGAGGUGCCGCCCGAGUUCCCUGGAACGGGACGCCACAGAGGGUGAGAGCCCCGUCUGGCUGGCCGCCGAGCCUCUGUAAAGCUCCUUCGACGAGUCGAGUAGUUUGGGAAUGCUGCUCAAAAUGGGAGGUAUAUGUCUUCUAAAGCUAAAUAUUGGCCAGAGACCGAUAGCGCACAAGUAGAGUGAUCGAAAGAUGAAAAGCACCUUGAAAAGAGGGUUAAAUAGUACGUGAAAUUGUUGAAAGGGAAGCGCUUGUGACCAGACUUGGGCGCGGCGGAUCAUCCGGGGUUCUCUCCGGUGCACUUCGCCGCGUCUAGGCCAGCAUCAGUUCGUCGCGGGGGAAAAAGGCUUCGGGAACGUGGCUCCUCCGGGAGUGUUAUAGCCCGUUGCAUAAUACCCUGCGGUGGACUGAGGACCGCGCAUCUGCAAGGAUGCUGGCGUAAUGGUCACCAGCGACCCGUCUUGAAACACGGACCAAGGAGUCGUCUUCGUAUGCGAGUGUUCGGGUGUCAAACCCCUACGCGUAAUGAAAGUGAACGCAGGUGAGAGCUUCGGCGCAUCAUCGACCGAUCCUGAUGUUCUCGGAUGGAUUUGAGUAAGAGCAUACGGGGCCGGACCCGAAAGAAGGUGAACUAUGCCUGUAUAGGGUGAAGCCAGAGGAAACUCUGGUGGAGGCUCGCAGCGGUUCUGACGUGCAAAUCGAUCGUCAAAUAUGGGCAUGGGGGCGAAAGACUAAUCGA